UGGCGGGCGGCGGACGGGUGAGUAACACGUAGGAACCUGCCCAGAAGAGGGGGACAACCAAGGGAAACGUUGGCUAAUACCGCAUAAUCUCUUUUGAGUAAAGCUACUGCAAGGUAGCGCUUUUGGAGGGGCCUGCGUCCGAUUAGCUAGUUGGUGAGGUAAUAGCUUACCAAGGCGAUGAUCGGUAACUGGUCUGAGAGGACGACCAGUCACACUGGGACUGAGACACGGCCCAGACUCCUACGGGAGGCAGCAGUGGGGAAUCUUGGACAAUGGGGGCAACCCUGAUCCAGCGAUGCCGCGUGAGUGAAGAAGGCCUUCGGGUCGUAAAGCUCUUUAGGUUGGGAAGAAGUGUGGUAGAGGAAAUGCUGCCACAUUGACGGUACCGACAGAAUAAGCACCGGCAAACUCUGUGCCAGCAGCCGCGGUAAUACAGAGGGUGCAAGCGUUAAUCGGAGUUACUGGGCGUAAAGGGCGCGUAGGCGGAUAAGUGAGUGGGAUGUGAAAGCCCUGGGCUUAACCUAGGAAGCGCAUCGCAAACGACGUAUCUGGAAUACGAGAGAGGGUGGCGGAAUUUCCGGUGUAGCGGUGAAAUGCGUAGAGAUCGGAAGGAACGUCAGUGGCGAAGGCGGCCACCUGGCUUGAUACUGACGCUGAGGCGCGAAAGCGUGGGGAGCGAACAGGAUUAGAUACCCUGGUAGUCCACGCUGUAAACGAUG
Molecule: ribosomal RNA, 719 nt
Filed under: uncultured bacterium
Lineage: Bacteria
Description: bacterial SSU rRNA
Rfam family: Bacterial small subunit ribosomal RNA
Source: RNAcentral